Molecule: long non-coding RNA, 607 nt
Organism: Cryptomeria japonica (Japanese cedar)
Lineage: Eukaryota; Viridiplantae; Streptophyta; Pinopsida; Cupressales; Cupressaceae
Exons: 2
Source: RefSeq, a predicted model, not a curated record
UCCUAUUACUUUGACAUUGACAACCAAGAAAAAGACUUGCAUGUAAUUAAGGAAACCCUAAAAGCUUUAGCGAUGACUCCAAGCAUGGUAAAAAAAACCUGCUUCAAUAUUUCUUACUGGUAUGAGAAAAAAAAUGAAGGGAUACGUAAGGAAAAAACUAUUCAACAUUUUUCACCAACUGCAUGGAACUUGCGAACAAAGAAGAAACCAAUUCUCGAUUCGAGGAUGAGGAGCGGGAUGCGGGGAAAUUCCAAACAAAUGGGAUUGAUCUGGUCCUCUCAACAAAGCGUGGAAGGUGGGUUAACUAGAUCUUCAGUAUCAGGUGAUUAGAAGACUGAAAACUAUCUUAAAAUUUUGGAGGAAUCAGAUUUAAAGAGAAAAUCCAAAGGUGAUUGAGGUUAUACAUGAAUUUAUGUUUAUCGUCUGAUCUCUUUGUGCCAGCAUUUAGAUCACCAACUAUUUAGAUUGGUCAUGAUUAGGUUUUUUUGGUAAAGUUUUUAAUGAUAUAGCCCGCAUUAUGGAAAGAGUAACAAUGCAAUUGAACAUUCUCAUACCCUAACACUUGAGAUAAAUAACAGAUUAAAUAAAAUAGUUUUGUUCAAGUUGA